GAUCGCCUGGCUCUCAGCCCAGCACACAGCCCCAAGCAGAAGGUCUUGAGCUCGAGUGGAGGCUGAGCCGUGCCCUGAGAGAGGCGCUGCGACCUGGAGACUCCGAGCAGACCCAGUGCGAGGGACAGUGGAGCUGGCUUAUGCUCACUGACCCUGCCUUUGGGAAGACACCCAGCGUCUCUACCUGCUGCUCGUCCCAGGCCAGUGUAAACAACCAUGGUUUGCCAUUAUCGAGUGGCUCAUUGUCAGCAGGACAGAGAGCAGUCAGUCAAUCUUUGAGAAACAAGGACAUAUCUGAGCAAGAUAUGCAAGAUCAGCAAGAAAUAACUGAGUCCGGCAAUCCUCUGGUGUGCUCAAGCAUGUGUGCAUUUGCGUGGGACAAGAAGGCGUGAGUCCGAAUGUUGGUGUAGGUAGGUGAGUGUGUUGGUGAUGUGGUGUGGGCGUCUGUUUCUCAAGCAUGUGCCUAGG
RNAcentral lists this long non-coding RNA (468 nucleotides) under Ictidomys tridecemlineatus (thirteen-lined ground squirrel). RNAcentral's name for it is "lncRNA (ENSSTOG00000034729.1)". Lineage: Eukaryota; Metazoa; Chordata; Mammalia; Rodentia; Sciuridae. The record is from RNAcentral.